Molecule: ribosomal RNA, 474 nt
Filed under: uncultured bacterium
Lineage: Bacteria
Description: bacterial SSU rRNA
Rfam family: Bacterial small subunit ribosomal RNA
Source: RNAcentral
GACGAACGCUGGCGGCGUGCCUAACACAUGCAAGUCGAGCGGGGUUGAAGCGAGGGGUAACUCGAGUUUCUACCUAGCGGCGGACGGGUGAGUAACGCGUGGGCAACCUGCCUCAAGGACUGGGAUAACAGCUCGAAAGGGCUGCUAAUACCGGAUAUGCCUGUGGCCUCGCAUGGGGCUAUGAGCAAAGGGGAAACCCGCCUUGAGAUGGGCCCGCGUCCCAUCAGCUAGUUGGUGAGGUGAAGGCUCACCAAGGCGACGACGGGUAGCCGGCCUGAGAGGGUGACCGGCCACACUGGGACUGAGACACGGCCCAGACUCCUACGGGGGGCAGCAGUGGGGAAUCUUGCACAAUGGGCGAAAGCCUGAUGCAGCGACGCCGCGUGAGCGAAGAAGGCCUUCGGUUGUAAAGACUCUGUCUGGAGGGACGAAGGAAGUGACGGUACCUCCGGAGGAAGCCACGGCUAACACGUG